GCGGCGGACGGGUGAGUAAUGCCUAGGAAUCUGCCUGGUAGUGGGGGAUAACGUUCGGAAACGGACGCUAAUACCGCAUACGUCCUACGGGAGAAAGCAGGGGACCUUCGGGCCUUGCGCUAUCAGAUGAGCCUAGGUCGGAUUAGCUAGUUGGUGGGGUAAUGGCUCACCAAGGCGACGAUCCGUAACUGGUCUGAGAGGAUGAUCAGUCACACUGGAACUGAGACACGGUCCAGACUCCUACGGGAGGCAGCAGUGGGGAAUAUUGGACAAUGGGCGAAAGCCUGAUCCAGCCAUGCCGCGUGUGUGAAGAAGGUCUUCGGAUUGUAAAGCACUUUAAGUUGGGAGGAAGGGCCGUUACCUAAUACGUGAUGGUUUUGACGUUACCGACAGAAUAAGCACCGGCUAACUCUGUGCCAGCAGCCGCGGUAAUACAGAGGGUGCAAGCGUUUAUCGGAAUUACUGGGCGUAAAGCGCGCGUAGGUGGUUUGUUAAGUUGGAUGUGAAAUCCCCGGGCUCAACCUGGGAACUGCAUUCAAAACUGACUGACUAGAGUA
This 557-nucleotide ribosomal RNA is filed under the name Pseudomonas sp. Its description in RNAcentral is "bacterial SSU rRNA". It matches the Rfam family "Bacterial small subunit ribosomal RNA", at positions 95 to 648 of the family's 1533-position model. Lineage: Bacteria; Pseudomonadati; Pseudomonadota; Gammaproteobacteria; Pseudomonadales; Pseudomonadaceae. The record is from RNAcentral.